ACUGCUCAGUAACACGUGGACAACCUACCCUCAGGAGGGGGAUAACCCCGGGAAACUGGGGAUAAUACCCCAUAGACCAGGGACGCUGGAAUGCCUCCUGGUCCAAAGGUCCGCCGCCUGAGGAUGGGUCUGCGGUCGAUUAGGUUGUUGUUGGGGUAACGGCCCAACAAGCCUUUGAUCGGUACGGGUUGUGAGAGCAAGAGCCCGGAGAUGGAUUCUGAGACACGAAUCCAGGCCCUACGGGGCGCAGCAGGCGCGAAAACUUUACAAUGCGAGAAAUCGUGAUAAGGGAACCCCGAGUGCCCGUAAAUUCGGGCUGUCUGCCAGUGCAAAUAGCUGGUGAAGAAAGGGCCGGGCAAGACCGGUGCCAGCCGCCGCGGUAAUACCGGCGGCUCGAGUGGUGGCCACUAUUACUGGGCUUAAAGCGUCCGUAGCUUGAUUGUUAAGUCUCUUGGGAAAUCCACCGGCUCAACCGAUGGGCGUUCAGGAGAAACUGGCAAUCUAGGGACCGGGAGAGGUGAGAGGUACUCCAGGGGUAGGAGUGAAAUCCUGUAAUCCUUGGGGGACCACCUGUGGCGAAGGCGUCUCACUAGAACGGCUCCGACAGUGAGGGACGAAAGCUGGGGGAGCAAACCGGAUUAGAUACCCGGGUAGUCCCAGCUGUAAACGAUGCGCGUUAGGUGUAUCGGUGACCACGAGUCAUCGAGGUGCCGAAGGGAAACCGUGAAACGUGCCGCCUGGGAAGUACGGUCGCAAGGCUGAAACUUAAAGGAAUUGGCGGGGGAGCAC
RNAcentral lists this ribosomal RNA (789 nucleotides) under uncultured Methanolinea sp. RNAcentral's name for it is "bacterial SSU rRNA". It matches the Rfam family "Archaeal small subunit ribosomal RNA", at positions 85 to 879 of the family's 1478-position model. Lineage: Archaea; Methanobacteriati; Methanobacteriota; Methanomicrobia; Methanomicrobiales; Methanoregulaceae. The record is from RNAcentral.